This 465-nucleotide ribosomal RNA is filed under the name Vreelandella stevensii. RNAcentral describes it as "partial 16S ribosomal RNA". It matches the Rfam family "Bacterial small subunit ribosomal RNA", at positions 338 to 795 of the family's 1533-position model. The record is from RNAcentral. Lineage: Bacteria; Pseudomonadati; Pseudomonadota; Gammaproteobacteria; Oceanospirillales; Halomonadaceae.
CCUACGGGUGGCAGCAGUGGGGAAUAUUGGACAAUGGGCGAAAGCCUGAUCCAGCCAUGCCGCGUGUGUGAAGAAGGCCUUCGGGUUGUAAAGCACUUUCAGUGGGGAAGAAAGCCUUGGGGCUAAUACCCUCGAGGAAGGACAUCACCCACAGAAGAAGCACCGGCUAACUCCGUGCCAGCAGCCGCGGUAAUACGGAGGGUGCGAGCGUGAAUCGGAAUUACUGGGCGUAAAGCGCGCGUAGGCGGUCUGAUAAGCCGGUUGUGAAAGCCCCGGGCUCAACCUGGGAACGGCAUCCGGAACUGUCAGGCUAGAGUGCAGGAGAGGAAGGUAGAAUUCCCGGUGUAGCGGUGAAAUGCGUAGAGAUCGGGAGGAAUACCAGUGGCGAAGGCGGCCUUCUGGACUGACACUGACGCUGAGGUGCGAAAGCGUGGGUAGCAAACAGGAUUAGAUACCCUAGUCGUC